RNAcentral lists this transfer RNA (75 nucleotides) under Ignatzschineria indica. Its description in RNAcentral is "tRNA-Lys". It matches the Rfam family "tRNA". Rfam says of the family: Transfer RNA (tRNA) molecules are approximately 80 nucleotides in length. Their secondary structure includes four short double-helical elements and three loops (D, anti-codon, and T loops). Further hydrogen bonds mediate the characteristic L-shaped molecular structure. tRNAs have two regions of fundamental functional importance: the anti-codon, which is responsible for specific mRNA codon recognition, and the 3' end, to which the tRNAs corresponding amino acid is attached (by aminoacyl-tRNA synthetases). tRNAs cope with the degeneracy of the genetic code in two manners: having more than one tRNA (with a specific anti-codon) for a particular amino acid; and 'wobble' base-pairing, i.e. permitting non-standard base-pairing at the 3rd anti-codon position. The record is from RNAcentral. RNAcentral also lists the same sequence under 5 other names. Lineage: Bacteria; Pseudomonadati; Pseudomonadota; Gammaproteobacteria; Cardiobacteriales; Ignatzschineriaceae.
GGGUCAUUAGCUCAGUGGUAGAGCAGUUGGCUUUUAACCAAUUGGUCGAAGGUUCGAAUCCCUCAUGACCCACCA